UACAGAGGUCCCAAGCGUUGUUCGGAUUCAUUGGGCGUAAAGGGCGCGUAGGUGGUUCUGUAUGUCUGCCGUGAAAGGGUACAGCUCAACUGUAGCUUGUCGGCAGAAACUGCAGGACUUGAGGCUGGGAGGGGCUGGUGGAAUUCCCUGUGUAGCGGUGAAAUGCGUAGAGAUGGGGGAGAACACUCGUGGCGAAGGCGGCCAGCUAGACCAGUUCUGACACUGAGGCGCGACAGCGUGGGGAGCAAACCGG
RNAcentral lists this ribosomal RNA (253 nucleotides) under uncultured bacterium. Its description in RNAcentral is "partial 16S ribosomal RNA". It matches the Rfam family "Bacterial small subunit ribosomal RNA", at positions 524 to 776 of the family's 1533-position model. The record is from RNAcentral.